Pyrus x bretschneideri (Chinese white pear) is the source of this 1821-nucleotide RNA transcript. RefSeq lists it as uncharacterized. NCBI's taxonomy places the organism in Eukaryota, Viridiplantae, Streptophyta, Magnoliopsida, Rosales, Rosaceae. The record is from RefSeq and is a predicted model, not a curated record. The transcript has 7 exons.
CUUUGCUCCCGCUCCGUUCCGUUCCGUCCUGUCCCGUCCCGUCCCGUCCCAUUCCGUUCCGUCCCGUCCGGUCUGCAUACCAAACGAUACCUUAAGGAACAGUUGCCCGGCUUGCCCACACGUCCAUCAUCACUGGACCUGCUUUCGGCUUCAUCAGUGCUUUUCGCCUUUCUCUCUCACCAUUCUCAGUUUUUGCUAUUAUGAACCCUGGCUUUCUUUGUCUCGAAAACGGCGGUUUGCCUCGCUCAUCAACCUUGCCGUCUCUUUCACAAAUUAUCAACAACGAUGGUCUCUUGCCGGAAAAAGCACUCUGUAGCUAGAACUUUUUUCGAUUUUUCAUUCGAAUCGAUUCAAUUUUUUACCCAAAAAAGUUAGCGUUUACUGGCUCGGAUCCUUCCUCAUCUUCUUCAUCCAAACCAGUAGCCCCACCUUCGAUUAUUACCGACGGAAACAUGACAUAUUAAGGCGCAACAACAAUACUGUAACACUUAUAAGAAAGAGCUCCAAACCUGCGAAGAUUCGUUCGAACACCUGCAGGAAGAAAUAAUAAGGCCGUUGAAGCGUAGAACGUAGGUUUACUUUGAUGCCAAGGUUAUGAAAAAAGAGUGGUUUGUACAUUAGCUAAGUACAUAUAAGUAUAUAUCUCUGUGUAUGUGUUUGUGUCAUUUGUUUUGAUUGCGAUUCUUGGUUUUGUGAUUAGGAUUUUUGGAAGGAGGCUUCGAUUCAAUUAUUGGAACAGAUAAUAUUUAUCGAAAAAUUCAAUGGGUCAGUAGAAGCUGGCUGCUUGCAAAGACAAGAACAUCAAUAUAUAUGCAUUGGAAUUUGUUGCGCUAGGAUAUGAAGAAGUGGAAAGGUACCUGGUGGAAUGUGAGUUUUGCUGCUUAAGACAAAGAGUGUUGUUUGGAAGCAUAACUAUGUCUGCAAGAGAUUGACUGAGGAUCCGGAUUGCAUCAUGUUCUGAAUGAGCUUGAAAGAGGAGUUGCUCUUCAUCUGACAAUUGCAUCGCAUAAUAGGUUUUGUUAAUCUACCCAUGGUGGAACCCAGCUGUUGAGAGGCAACCAUAAGAUAGAAUCCACCGGAUAGGGCAGUACAAACCGAUCAGGACAAGGUGUGGAUUAGAUAGCAGGAUCUGGUUGGAAGACAAGAUUUUGUGAAAGAAAGGGUAAGAAAAUGCUGAUGAAUUUUCGUUGUUGAUCUGUGCAUGUAAGAGCUCUUACUGAUUGUUUUGUUUUCUUUUGGCCAUGUAAAAGCUCUGUACAUAGAGUUCACAAUACAUGCAUAGUUUUUCAUUGUUCUAAAAUUCUAAGUUCCUAUAAAUCUUUUCCUGCAUUUAUGAAUUCUAAAUAAAUGCAAAUCAUAAAAAUAAUCAGAGUGGAUAAAAUUAUUGGCUUAUGUGCACUAAUGAAAUAUGGCAGCCUUUCAACUCCCACCCAAGGGUUUUUUAAAGAAUGAUGUAAUUAAAGCAAUUACAUGCUCUGUUAUGUUUUAUAUAUAGUUGUGGUAGUUGUAAGGGAAUGAAAUAUUUAUGCAGAUAAUUGGUAGUUUAAAUAUAUAAAAAUGGAGAAUAAUUAUAAAUGGAACACCUAGGAUAUAUAACAUUGUUUUGUUUUGCAUGUUUUCUCAUGUUAGCACAGCUUUUGUUUAUGCAUUUUAUUCAAGUGCUAUUUUUUAUUAGUGUUAAUUUCGGGUUUUACAUCUAAAAAUUUAGUUUUUUUUGUUGCCAUUGUACAUCUAACAAUUAAUUAUUCGUUUGGAAUUUGGUUGUUUGUUAAUUUUUCAUUACUACCUAUUCUAUCAACUUCAUCUAAACUGUUUUGCAUG